GAUGAACGCUGGCGGCGUGCCUAAUACAUGCAAGUCGAGCGAACAGACGAGGAGCUUGCUCCUCUGACGUUAGCGGCGGACGGGUGAGUAACACGUGGAUAACCUACCUAUAAGACUGGGAUAACUUCGGGAAACCGGAGCUAAUACCGGAUAAUAUAUUGAACCGCAUGGUUCAAUAGUGAAAGACGGUUUUGCUGUCACUUAUAGAUGGAUCCGCGCCGCAUUAGCUAGUUGGUAAGGUAACGGCUUACCAAGGCAACGAUGCGUAGCCGACCUGAGAGGGUGAUCGGCCACACUGGAACUGAGACACGGUCCAGACUCCUACGGGAGGCGGCAGUAGGGAAUCUUCCGCAAUGGGCGAAAGCCUGACGGAGCAACGCCGCGUGAGUGAUGAAGGUCUUCGGAUCGUAAAACUCUGUUAUUAGGGAAGAACAAAUGUGUAAGUAACUAUGCACGUCCUGACGGUACCUAAUCAGAAAGCCACGGCUAACUACGUG
RNAcentral lists this ribosomal RNA (497 nucleotides) under uncultured bacterium. RNAcentral describes it as "partial 16S ribosomal RNA". It matches the Rfam family "Bacterial small subunit ribosomal RNA", at positions 28 to 507 of the family's 1533-position model. The record is from RNAcentral.